Molecule: ribosomal RNA, 253 nt
Filed under: uncultured bacterium
Lineage: Bacteria
Description: partial 16S ribosomal RNA
Rfam family: Bacterial small subunit ribosomal RNA
Source: RNAcentral
UACGAAGGGGGCUAGCGUUGCUCGGAAUCACUGGGCGUAAAGCGCACGUAGGCGGAUUGCUAAGUCAGGGGUGAAAUCCUGGAGCUCAACUCCAGAACUGCCUUUGAUACUGGCGAUCUUGAGUCCGGGAGAGGUGAGUGGGACUGCGAGUGUAGAGGUGAAAUUCGUAGAUAUUCGCAAGAACACCAGUGGCGAAGGCGGCUCACUGGCCCGGUACUGACGCUGAGGUGCGAAAGCGUGGGGAGCGAACAGG